This 68-nucleotide transfer RNA is filed under the name Polythlipta liquidalis. RNAcentral's name for it is "tRNA-Phe". Lineage: Eukaryota; Metazoa; Arthropoda; Insecta; Lepidoptera; Crambidae. The record is from RNAcentral.
AUUUAAAUAGCUUAUAUUUAGAGCAUAAUAUUGAAGAUAUUAAGGAGAUUAAUUAAAAUUUUUAAAUA